CAGCAGCCGCGGUAAUACGUAGGUGGCAAGCGUUGUCCGGAAUUAUUGGGCGUAAAGCGCGCGCAGGCGGUUCCUUAAGUCUGAUGUGAAAUCUCGCGGCUCAACCGUGAGCGGUCAUUGGAAACUGGGGAACUUGAGUGCAGGAGAGAAGAGCGGAAUUCCACGUGUAGCGGUGAAAUGCGUAGAGAUGUGGAGGAACACCAGUGGCGAAGGCGGCUCUUUGGCCUGUAACUGACGCUGAGGCGCGAAAGCGUGGGGAGCAAACAGGAUUAGAUACCCUGGUAGUCCACGCCGUAAACGAUGAGUGCUAGGUGUUAGAGGGUUUCCGCCCUUUAGUGCUGCAGCUAACGCAUUAAGCACUCCGCCUGGGGAGUACGGCCGCAAGGCUGAAACUUAAAGGAAUUGGCGGG
RNAcentral lists this ribosomal RNA (410 nucleotides) under uncultured microorganism. Its description in RNAcentral is "bacterial SSU rRNA". It matches the Rfam family "Bacterial small subunit ribosomal RNA", at positions 509 to 917 of the family's 1533-position model. The record is from RNAcentral.